UCGAGUGGCGAACGGGUGAGUAACACGUGGGUGAUCUGCCCUGCACUCUGGGAUAAGCCUGGGAAACUGGGUCUAAUACCGGAUAUGACCAACUGUCGCAUGGUGGUUGGUGGAAAGCUUUUGCGGUGUGGGAUGGGCCCGCGGCCUAUCAGCUUGUUGGUGGGGUAAUGGCCUACCAAGGCGACGACGGGUAGCCGACCUGAGAGGGUGAUCGGCCACACUGGGACUGAGACACGGCCCAG
Molecule: ribosomal RNA, 242 nt
Filed under: uncultured bacterium
Lineage: Bacteria
Description: partial 16S ribosomal RNA
Rfam family: Bacterial small subunit ribosomal RNA
Source: RNAcentral